UUGAAAUUUUGUUUAGCCUACCAUCCGCGAAUGGAUGGGCAAAUGGAGGUCUUCUUGAGCUAUACCAUUGAAUCCUAUCUGCAUUUUUUCUCCUCGGAGCAGCCUAAGCUAUGGUUGAAGUGCUUGUGCUGGGCUGAGUAUUGGUACAACACCUCCUUCUAAGGUGCUGUCUGCCAAACACCAUUUGACCACCUCCCACCUCAGUUGUUUCUUGCAUGGAGAGACACAUGUUGAAUCCGUGGCCCAAAAUUUGGUUGAUUGUGAUGAAAUUUUGAGCCACGGAUUCAACAUGUGUCUCUCCAUG
RNAcentral lists this unclassified non-coding RNA (304 nucleotides) under Hevea brasiliensis (rubber tree). Lineage: Eukaryota; Viridiplantae; Streptophyta; Magnoliopsida; Malpighiales; Euphorbiaceae. The record is from RNAcentral.